Molecule: ribosomal RNA, 253 nt
Filed under: uncultured bacterium
Lineage: Bacteria
Description: partial 16S ribosomal RNA
Rfam family: Bacterial small subunit ribosomal RNA
Source: RNAcentral
UACGUAGGGUGCGAGCGUUGUCCGGAAUUAUUGGGCGUAAAGGGCUCGUAGGCGGUCUGUCGCGUCGGGAGUGAAAACUCAGGGCUUAACCCUGAGCCUGCUUCCGAUACGGGCAGACUAGAGGUAUGCAGGGGAGAACGGAAUUCCUGGUGUAGCGGUGAAAUGCGCAGAUAUCAGGAGGAACACCGGUGGCGAAGGCGGUUCUCUGGGCAUUACCUGACGCUGAGGAGCGAAAGCUAGGGGAGCAAACAGG